UUUUUUUGUUUUAAAUUUCUUUACAUACUUUGACUAAUGUUUAAAAUGAAGCCGCAAGGUUCUCGUCAUAAGCCCGAAGGCCUAAUCAUAAUUACCUCGCCAUCAAGUGCACAGUGUUAGAAGUGGAGGUCAGGCUCUACAAGUAGACGCCCUAUAAUUCACUAAUGAUCCUUCCGCAGGUUCACCUACGGAAA
This 194-nucleotide unclassified non-coding RNA is filed under the name uncultured fungus. RNAcentral describes it as "sequence contains ITS1". Lineage: Eukaryota; Fungi. The record is from RNAcentral.